This 1555-nucleotide ribosomal RNA is filed under the name uncultured bacterium. RNAcentral's name for it is "bacterial SSU rRNA". It matches the Rfam family "Bacterial small subunit ribosomal RNA". The record is from RNAcentral.
AGAGUUUGAUCCUGGCUCAGAAUGAACGCUGGCGGCGUGCCUAACACAUGCAAGUCGUGCGCGAACGGGGCUUCGGCUCCUAGUAGAGCGGCGAACGGGUGAGUAACACGUGGGUAACCUGCCUGGGAGUGGGGAAUAACCUGGGGAAACUCGGGCUAAUACCGCAUACGUUCCCGGAGCUACGGCUCCGGGAAGAAAGAUGGCCUCUGCUUGCAAGCCAUCUCUCCCAGAGGGGCCCGCGGCUGAUUAGCUAGUUGGUGAGGUAACGGCCCACCAAGGCGACGAUCAGUAGCCGGCCUGAGAGGGUGAUCGGCCACACUGGAACUGAGACACGGUCCAGACUCCUACGGGAGGCAGCAGUGGGGAAUAUUGGACAAUGGGGGAAACCCUGAUCCCAGCAACCCCCGCGUGGGGGAUGAAGGUCUUCGGGAUUGGUAAACCCCCUGGUUGAAGAGGGGACGAAAGGUUUGCCGGGCGAAACAGUCCCGUAAAACUUGAACGGGUACCUCGAGAAGGAAACCCCGGGCUAACUCUUGUUGCCAGCCAGCCGCGGUAAUAACGAGGGGGGCGAGCGUUAUUUUGGAAUUAUUUGGGGCGUAAAGGGGCGCGUAAGCGGGCCGUGCAAGUCUUGGGGUGGAAAUCCCCUCUGGCUCCACCCGAAGAACUUGCCCUGGGAAACUGCACGGCUUCUAGGCCGGGAGAGAGAUGGUGGGAAUUUCUCACAUGUAGCCGGUGGAAUGGGGUGAUAUUUGGAGGACCCUGGUGGAGAAGCGACAUCGACGUUCUGACUGUGAGGCGCGAAAGGCUGGGUACAACAGGAUUAGAUCCCGUGUAGUCCACGCCUAAACGAUGGUUACUCGUUGUCGCGGGUAUCGACCCCGCGUGCUUUAGCUAACCGCGUUAAGUACCCCGCCUGGGGGAGUACGGUUCGCAAAGGCUGAAACUUCAAAAGGGAAUGGACGGGGGGCCCCGCCACAAGGCGGGUGGAGCAUGUGGUUUAUUUCGAUGCAACGCGAAAGAACCUUACCUGGGCUCGAACGGUUGGUGACAGCGGUAGAAAUACCGUCUCUCCUUCGGGAGUCGCCAUCGAGGUGCUGCAUGGCUGUCGUCAGCUCGUGUCGUGAGAUGUUGGGUUAAGUCCCGCAACGAGCGCAACCCCUAUCCUUAGUUGCCAGCGGAUAAUGCCGGGCACUCUAGGGAGACUGCCUCGGAAAUCGAGGAGGAGGGUGGGGAUGACGUCAAGUCCGCAUGGCCUUUAUGUCCAGGGCUACACACGUGCUACAAUGGACGGUACAGAGGGUCGCAAAGCCGCGAGGUAGAGCUAAUCCCAUAAAACCGUCCUCAGUACGGAUUGCAGUCUGCAACUCGACUGCAUGAAGCUGGAAUCGCUAGUAAUCCCGGAUCAGCACGCCGGGGUGAAUACGUUCCCGGGCCUUGUACACACCGCCCGUCACAUCACGAAAGCCGGCUGUACCGGAAGUCGCUGUGCCAACCGCAAGGAGGCAGGCGCCCAUGGUAUGGUCGGUGAUUGGGGUGAAGUCGUAACAAGGUAACC